UACGUAGGGUGCGAGCGUUAAUCGGAAUUACUGGGCGUAAAGCGUGCGCAGGCGGUUGGUUAAGUCUGAUGUGAAAGCCCCGGGCUCAACCUGGGAAUGGCAUUGGAAACUGGCUGGCUAGAGUGUGGCAGAGGGGGGUGGAAUUCCGCGUGUAGCAGUGAAAUGCGUAGAGAUGCGGAGGAACACCGAUGGCGAAGGCAGCCCCCUGGGCUAGCACUGACGCUCAGGCACGAAAGCGUGGGGAGCAAACAGG
Molecule: ribosomal RNA, 253 nt
Filed under: uncultured bacterium
Lineage: Bacteria
Description: partial 16S ribosomal RNA
Rfam family: Bacterial small subunit ribosomal RNA
Source: RNAcentral